GAUCCUGGCUCAGGAUGAACGCUAGCUACAGGCUUAACACAUGCAAGUCGAGGGGCAGCGGGAUUGAAGCUUGCUUCAAUUGCCGGCGACCGGCGCACGGGUGAGUAACGCGUAUCCAACCUUCCGUACACUCAGGGAUAACCUUGCGAAAGUAAGACUAAUACCCAAUGAUAUCUCUAGAAGACAUCUGAAAGAGAUUAAAGAUUCAUCGGUGAUGGAUGGGGAUGCGU
RNAcentral lists this ribosomal RNA (230 nucleotides) under uncultured bacterium. RNAcentral describes it as "partial 16S ribosomal RNA". It matches the Rfam family "Bacterial small subunit ribosomal RNA", at positions 15 to 236 of the family's 1533-position model. The record is from RNAcentral.